This is a long non-coding RNA of Canis lupus familiaris (dog), 766 nucleotides long. RefSeq lists it as uncharacterized. The record is from RefSeq and is a predicted model, not a curated record. Lineage: Eukaryota; Metazoa; Chordata; Mammalia; Carnivora; Canidae. The transcript is spliced from 3 exons.
UGGGCCAGAGGGUCCUAAGCUUCAGCUCUGCUUCUUCCACGCUCGGCACCCAGUCCCUAAGCAGGAGCAGUGGCGGGAAGGCCUCCGGCCUGGGAUCCCCCGCUGGGAACCGAGCGCCCAGAGGGACCUGUUUCCUGCUCGCCCACUAACACCUGGAUUUGCAGGUGGGGCCUCUUGCGUGGGUUUGUGACAGAUGCCGAAAAUAAGGAUUUCUCCGAGUCAGUCACAGCUGGGUGUUGACCCGAUCCCCCCACCCCCAAGCAGGAGGAGAAACAAAAAUCGCCAGCCCACAGGGAUCCCAUCCUCAGGGCCCUGAGAUCCCAUCUGACCUGUAUCCUUCCCGCCCCCCGGCAGGGCUGCUGCAGAACUGGGCCGCCCCACCUGCAGCACAUCCCAUUUCCCCAGCCCCUCCAAGGGCAGCCCCAACUCUAGGCCGUCCCUCCUCGUAGGAAAAUGUCUUUCUGGCGUUCCACGGCGGGAACUCCAACUUCCCCAAUUUUCUCUACUUGUGACUUUUCUUCUUUAGAUAUAUCUAUGGUGCUAGAUCUUCCUAGGUAUUCCCUGGCCUAUGGAAGUAAAUGACUACAGAGGAAUCUCCAGAAAGGGGGCAAGUCACGUGAUGCUGCAGAAAGAGUGUAGCUUUAAAGAGAGGAGCCUAAAAUUCUGACUCCACCGUUUCCGAGCUGAACUAUCUGGUGCAAGUAUUUUCCCUUCUCUGAGCCUGUUUCCUCAACAUGAAAUCUAUUUUGUACGAUAACAAUUAAUA